GCUUUGUGGCGUUGUGGUUUGCACAUUGGACUAUGACUCUGGAGACUAUGGUUCGAAUCCUUACUCAACCA
Molecule: non-coding RNA, 71 nt
Organism: Phrynosoma platyrhinos (Desert horned lizard)
Lineage: Eukaryota; Metazoa; Chordata; Lepidosauria; Squamata; Phrynosomatidae
Source: the annotation of a GenBank genome assembly